GACGAACGCUGGCGGCGUGCUUAACACAUGCAAGUCGAACGAUGACGACCGAGCUUGCUCGGUCUGAUUAGUGGCGAACGGGUGAGUAACACGUGAGCAACCUGCCCUUCACUCUGGGAUAACCUCGGGAAAUCGGGGCUAAUACCGGAUAUGAGCUCCUGUCGCAUGGCGGGUGUUGGAAAGUUUUUCGGUGAAGGAUGGGCUCGCGGCCUAUCAGUUUGUUGGUGAGGUAGUGGCUCACCAAGGCGAUGACGGGUAGCCGGCCUGAGGGGGCGACCGGCCACACUAGGACUGAGACACGGCCCAGACUCCUACGGGAGGCAGCAGUGGGGAAUAUUGCACAAUGGGCGAAAGCCUGAUGCAGCGACGCCGCGUGAGGGAUGACGGCCUUCGGGUUGUAAACCUCUUUCAGCAGGGAAGAAGCGAAAGUGACGGUACCUGCAGAAGAAGCGCCGGCUAACUACGUG
RNAcentral lists this ribosomal RNA (467 nucleotides) under uncultured bacterium. RNAcentral describes it as "partial 16S ribosomal RNA". It matches the Rfam family "Bacterial small subunit ribosomal RNA", at positions 28 to 507 of the family's 1533-position model. The record is from RNAcentral.